Molecule: long non-coding RNA, 392 nt
Filed under: Drosophila guanche
Lineage: Eukaryota; Metazoa; Arthropoda; Insecta; Diptera; Drosophilidae
Source: RNAcentral
CCCGACUCGGGGGCUACGUGAUGUACAUUAUGCGAGCAUUUUUCUCUCGCUGGUUAAUUGCAUUUUCUUGUCUCGUGUGGCAAUCCCUGAAACCCUCCAAACAUUGCCACACACAGCAGCAUCGGGCUUGACCGUUAGAUCUAAGAUCUAGCUGUGUGUAGGAGAGAAUUUCGCAAAGCCCUUGCUGUUUAUCCAGAGUUCUUGAGCUCGAGAUUCACUACCUGACCACGCUUGACCCAGUUUCUAUGUAAAUCGAGUGGCGAGACAUGGCCAGAAGCGGCCCAAAACACACACACACACACACACACACACACACACACAGUUUCAGCACACUUGGAGGCCACUGAACUUGGCCGUCGAGUCGUCAUCAUCAUCAUUGCUGGCGUUGGAGU